RNAcentral lists this microRNA precursor (131 nucleotides) under Corchorus capsularis. Its description in RNAcentral is "pre miRNA MIR530". The record is from RNAcentral. Lineage: Eukaryota; Viridiplantae; Streptophyta; Magnoliopsida; Malvales; Malvaceae.
GUGGUGGGGUGCCCUCCGGAGACGCCUCCGCGCCUAGAUCAAUUUUUUAAAAAUAAUUUAAAAACUGAUAAUUGAUAAUUUAAAAAAAAUUAAUCUAGGCGCGGAGGCGUCCCUGGAGGGCGCCCCACCAC